Oncorhynchus tshawytscha (Chinook salmon) is the source of this 264-nucleotide long non-coding RNA. The record is from Ensembl. NCBI's taxonomy places the organism in Eukaryota, Metazoa, Chordata, Actinopteri, Salmoniformes, Salmonidae.
CCGGGGAUAGUCACUGACAGCAGCAGUUACGUUCAGAUUAACAGAACUGGGUGAUUUUCGAUGAGUGGCUGGACAAGAUUUUUAAUAAGAAACCCUGUCGUCGGCUACGGUUCAUGACCAUCCUUAGGUUUUCCUCUGAGCUCUCUAGUCACGGACACGAAUACUGGAUAUAAUUGUGGAACCACCACGGUUCUUCAGAGCUGCGAAGAUGGGAUUAAGAUUGGGUUAAGGGCAGAGGGGAAUUUACAGGGAGUGAAUUAGGAC